Molecule: ribosomal RNA, 128 nt
Organism: Ochotona princeps (American pika)
Lineage: Eukaryota; Metazoa; Chordata; Mammalia; Lagomorpha; Ochotonidae
Source: Ensembl
GUCUACGGCCAUACCAACCUGAACGCAUCCGAUCUCGUCCGAUCUCAUCCGAUUUCGUCUGAUCUCGGAAGCUAAGCAGGGUUGGGCCUGGUUAGUACUUGAAUGGGAGAAGUUAUCUGCUAAAAAAA